Molecule: transfer RNA, 73 nt
Filed under: Haloferacaceae archaeon
Lineage: Archaea; Methanobacteriati; Methanobacteriota; Halobacteria; Halobacteriales; Haloferacaceae
Also listed under: 1 other name
Description: tRNA-Ile
Rfam family: tRNA
About the family: Transfer RNA (tRNA) molecules are approximately 80 nucleotides in length. Their secondary structure includes four short double-helical elements and three loops (D, anti-codon, and T loops).
Source: RNAcentral
GGGCCCUUAGCUCAGCGUGUAGAGCGCUCGGCUCAUAACCGGGUGGUCACGGGUUCGAAUCCCGUAGGGCCCA